This 77-nucleotide transfer RNA is filed under the name Candidatus Aquarickettsia rohweri. RNAcentral's name for it is "tRNA-Arg". It matches the Rfam family "tRNA". From Rfam's summary of the family: Transfer RNA (tRNA) molecules are approximately 80 nucleotides in length. Their secondary structure includes four short double-helical elements and three loops (D, anti-codon, and T loops). Further hydrogen bonds mediate the characteristic L-shaped molecular structure. tRNAs have two regions of fundamental functional importance: the anti-codon, which is responsible for specific mRNA codon recognition, and the 3' end, to which the tRNAs corresponding amino acid is attached (by aminoacyl-tRNA synthetases). tRNAs cope with the degeneracy of the genetic code in two manners: having more than one tRNA (with a specific anti-codon) for a particular amino acid; and 'wobble' base-pairing, i.e. permitting non-standard base-pairing at the 3rd anti-codon position. Lineage: Bacteria; Pseudomonadati; Pseudomonadota; Alphaproteobacteria; Rickettsiales; Candidatus Midichloriaceae. The record is from RNAcentral.
GUGUCCUUAGCUCAGCUGGACAGAGCAACAGCCUUCUAAGCUGUGGGUCGGGGGUUCGAAUCCUCCAGGACACACCA